GAUGAACGCUGGCGGCGUGCCUAAUACAUGCAAGUCGAGCGAACGGACGAGAAGCUUGCUUCUCUGAUGUUAGCGGCGGACGGGUGAGUAACACGUGGAUAACCUACCUAUAAGACUGGGAUAACUUCGGGAAACCGGAGCUAAUACCGGAUAAUAUUUUGAACCGCAUGGUUCAAAAGUAAAAGACGGUCUUGCUGUCACUUAUAGAUGGAUCCGCGCUGCAUUAGCUAGUUGGUAAGGUAACGGCUUACCAAGGCAACGAUGCAUAGCCGACCUGAGAGGGUGAUCGGCCACACUGGAACUGAGACACGGUCCAGACUCCUACGGGAGGCAGCAGUAGGGAAUCUUCCGCAAUGGGCGAAAGCCUGACGGAGCAACGCCGCGUGAGUGAUGAAGGUCUUCCGAUCGUAAAACUCUGUUAUUAGGGAAGAAUAUAUGUGUAAGUAACUGUGCACAUCUUGACGGUACCUAAUCAGAAAGCCACGACUAACUACGUGCCAGCAGCCGCGGUAAUACGUAGGUGGCAAGCGUUAUCCGGAAUUAUUGGGCGUAAAGCGCGCGUAGGCGGUUUUUUAGUCUGAUGUGAAAGCCCACGGCUCAACCGUGGAGGGUCAUUGGAAACUGGAAAACUUGAGUGCAGAAGAGGAAAGUGGAAUUCCAUGUGUAGCGGUGAAAUGCGCAGAGAUAUGGAGGAACACCAGUGGCGAAGGCGACUUUCUGGUCUGUAACUGACGCUGAUGUGCGAAAGCGUGGGGAUCAAACAGGAUUAGAUACCCUGGUAGUCCACGCCGUAAACGAUGAGUGCUAAGUGUUAGGGGGUUUCCGCCCCUUAGUGCUGCAGCUAACGCAUUAAGCACUCCGCCUGGGGAGUACGACCGCAAGGUUGAAACUCAAAGGAAUUGACGGGGACCCGCACAAGCGGUGGAGCAUGUGGUUUAAUUCGAAGCAACGCGAAGAACCUUACCAAAUCUUGACAUCCUUUGACAACUCUAGAGAUAGAGCCUUCCCCUUCGGGGGACAAAGUGACAGGUGGUGCAUGGUUGUCGUCAGCUCGUGUCGUGAGAUGUUGGGUUAAGUCCCGCAACGAGCGCAACCCUUAAGCUUAGUUGCCAUCAUUAAGUUGGGCACUCUAAGUUGACUGCCGGUGACAAACCGGAGGAAGGUGGGGAUGACGUCAAAUCAUCAUGCCCCUUAUGAUUUGGGCUACACACGUGCUACAAUGGACAAUACAAAGGGCAGCGAAACCGCGAGGUCAAGCAAAUCCCAUAAAGUUGUUCUCAGUUCGGAUUGUAGUCUGCAACUCGACUACAUGAAGCUGGAAUCGCUAGUAAUCGUAGAUCAGCAUGCUACGGUGAAUACGUUCCCGGGUCU
RNAcentral lists this ribosomal RNA (1371 nucleotides) under uncultured bacterium. Its description in RNAcentral is "bacterial SSU rRNA". It matches the Rfam family "Bacterial small subunit ribosomal RNA", at positions 28 to 1381 of the family's 1533-position model. The record is from RNAcentral.